UACGUAGGAUCCAAGCGUUAUCCGGAUUUACUGGGCGUAAAGCGUGUGUAGGCGGCGUGUUAAGUGAGAUGUGAAAUCUUGUGGCUCAACCAUAUAGGCUAUAUCUCAUACUGGCAUGCUUGAGGUCGGCAGAGGCAAGUGGAAUUACGGGUGUAGCAGUGAAAUGCGUAGAGAUCCGUAGGAACACCAAUGGCGAAGGCAGCUUGCUGGGCCGAAUCUGACGCUGAGACACGAAAGCGUGGGGAGCGAACAGG
This 254-nucleotide ribosomal RNA is filed under the name uncultured bacterium. RNAcentral's name for it is "partial 16S ribosomal RNA". It matches the Rfam family "Bacterial small subunit ribosomal RNA", at positions 524 to 776 of the family's 1533-position model. The record is from RNAcentral.